GGGCCCGCACAAGCGGUGGAGCAUGUGGUUUAAUUCGAUGCAACGCGAAGAACCUUACCAGGACUUGACAUACUACGAAUCCUUUUGAGAAAAAGGAGUGCCUUCGGGAAUGUAGAUACAGGUGGUGCAUGGCUGUCGUCAGCUCGUGUCGUGAGAUGUUGGGUUAAGUCUCGCAACGAGCGCAACCCUUAUUUUUAGUUACCAAUUCGUUGGGUUCUCUAGAAAGACUGCCGGUGACAAACCGGAGGAAGGUGAGGAUGACGUCAAGUCAGCAUGCCCCUUAUGUCCUGGGCUACACACGUGCUACAAUGGUUAAGACAAAGAGUCGCGAGCUUGCAAAAGUCAGCUAAUCUCAUAAACUUAGCCUAAGUUCAGAUUGUAGGCUGCAACUCGCCUACAUGAAGUUGGAAUC
This 412-nucleotide ribosomal RNA is filed under the name uncultured bacterium. RNAcentral describes it as "bacterial SSU rRNA". It matches the Rfam family "Bacterial small subunit ribosomal RNA", at positions 917 to 1333 of the family's 1533-position model. The record is from RNAcentral.